AAUGGAGGAGCAGCAGAUGGAAAAUGAUGCAGAUGUCUGCAAGAAAGAGUAGGCCUGUUUGCUUUGUGCCUGAGCAGAAGCCCCUGUGCCAUCGGUAAGAGCCAUUGCGGUGCUGGGAGCAGAGGAGGAAAGGGGGCCUGGCUGCUUCUGGAAAUAGGCAAUAACUUCCAACUCCAGGCUUUCACUGAGCACCUAGAUUCUGCAGCAAGAAAAUAACAGUUUUUUUCAGAUGCUGGAUAGUGGUUGCAGGAGCGAUGCAGGCACACUCUGGCAGGGACUGACACUGCCAGAGGGUGUUCCACGCUUCAGGACAUCCCAACUUGGGGCAGUCUGGGCAACACCCUACAAAAGUAACUCCUGGAGUAUUUGGAGUGGUCUGUAAUA
This is a long non-coding RNA of Nothoprocta perdicaria, 384 nucleotides long. RefSeq lists it as uncharacterized. The transcript has 4 exons. NCBI's taxonomy places the organism in Eukaryota, Metazoa, Chordata, Aves, Tinamiformes, Tinamidae. The record is from RefSeq and is a predicted model, not a curated record.